UACUAUGGCCAUGCCACCCUGAACACGCCCGAUCUCAUCUGAUUUCAGAAGCUAACCAGAGUUAGGCCCAGUUAGUAUUUGGAUGGGAGACCACCUAGGAAGACCAGGUGCUGUAGGUG
This 119-nucleotide ribosomal RNA is filed under the name Pteropus alecto (black flying fox). Lineage: Eukaryota; Metazoa; Chordata; Mammalia; Chiroptera; Pteropodidae. The record is from RNAcentral.